AACUAUUUUAGAGUGUUUUGAAAACACUUUAUAAGGAUUUUUCCUUUUGGUUU
RNAcentral lists this transfer RNA (53 nucleotides) under Angiostrongylus cantonensis (rat lungworm). RNAcentral describes it as "tRNA-Ser". The record is from RNAcentral. Lineage: Eukaryota; Metazoa; Nematoda; Chromadorea; Rhabditida; Metastrongylidae.